This 2902-nucleotide ribosomal RNA is filed under the name Escherichia coli. Its description in RNAcentral is "23S ribosomal RNA". It matches the Rfam family "Bacterial large subunit ribosomal RNA". Lineage: Bacteria; Pseudomonadati; Pseudomonadota; Gammaproteobacteria; Enterobacterales; Enterobacteriaceae. The record is from RNAcentral.
GGUUAAGCGACUAAGCGUACACGGUGGAUGCCCUGGCAGUCAGAGGCGAUGAAGGACGUGCUAAUCUGCGAUAAGCGUCGGUAAGGUGAUAUGAACCGUUAUAACCGGCGAUUUCCGAAUGGGGAAACCCAGUGUGUUUCGACACACUAUCAUUAACUGAAUCCAUAGGUUAAUGAGGCGAACCGGGGGAACUGAAACAUCUAAGUACCCCGAGGAAAAGAAAUCAACCGAGAUUCCCCCAGUAGCGGCGAGCGAACGGGGAGCAGCCCAGAGCCUGAAUCAGUGUGUGUGUUAGUGGAAGCGUCUGGAAAGGCGCGCGAUACAGGGUGACAGCCCCGUACACAAAAAUGCACAUGCUGUGAGCUCGAUGAGUAGGGCGGGACACGUGGUAUCCUGUCUGAAUAUGGGGGGACCAUCCUCCAAGGCUAAAUACUCCUGACUGACCGAUAGUGAACCAGUACCGUGAGGGAAAGGCGAAAAGAACCCCGGCGAGGGGAGUGAAAAAGAACCUGAAACCGUGUACGUACAAGCAGUGGGAGCACGCUUAGGCGUGUGACUGCGUACCUUUUGUAUAAUGGGUCAGCGACUUAUAUUCUGUAGCAAGGUUAACCGAAUAGGGGAGCCGAAGGGAAACCGAGUCUUAACUGGGCGUUAAGUUGCAGGGUAUAGACCCGAAACCCGGUGAUCUAGCCAUGGGCAGGUUGAAGGUUGGGUAACACUAACUGGAGGACCGAACCGACUAAUGUUGAAAAAUUAGCGGAUGACUUGUGGCUGGGGGUGAAAGGCCAAUCAAACCGGGAGAUAGCUGGUUCUCCCCGAAAGCUAUUUAGGUAGCGCCUCGUGAAUUCAUCUCCGGGGGUAGAGCACUGUUUCGGCAAGGGGGUCAUCCCGACUUACCAACCCGAUGCAAACUGCGAAUACCGGAGAAUGUUAUCACGGGAGACACACGGCGGGUGCUAACGUCCGUCGUGAAGAGGGAAACAACCCAGACCGCCAGCUAAGGUCCCAAAGUCAUGGUUAAGUGGGAAACGAUGUGGGAAGGCCCAGACAGCCAGGAUGUUGGCUUAGAAGCAGCCAUCAUUUAAAGAAAGCGUAAUAGCUCACUGGUCGAGUCGGCCUGCGCGGAAGAUGUAACGGGGCUAAACCAUGCACCGAAGCUGCGGCAGCGACGCUGAUGCGUUGUUGGGUAGGGGAGCGUUCUGUAAGCCUGCGAAGGUGUGCUGUGAGGCAUGCUGGAGGUAUCAGAAGUGCGAAUGCUGACAUAAGUAACGAUAAAGCGGGUGAAAAGCCCGCUCGCCGGAAGACCAAGGGUUCCUGUCCAACGUUAAUCGGGGCAGGGUGAGUCGACCCCUAAGGCGAGGCCGAAAGGCGUAGUCGAUGGGAAACAGGUUAAUAUUCCUGUACUUGGUGUUACUGCGAAGGGGGACGGAGAAGGCUAUGUUGGCCGGGCGACGGUUGUCCCGGUUUAAGCGUGUAGGCUGGUUUUCCAGGCAAAUCCGGAAAAUCAAGGCUGAGGCGUGAUGACGAGGCACUACGGUGCUGAAGCAACAAAUGCCCUGCUUCCAGGAAAAGCCUCUAAGCAUCAGGUAACAUCAAAUCGUACCCCAAACCGACACAGGUGGUCAGGUAGAGAAUACCAAGGCGCUUGAGAGAACUCGGGUGAAGGAACUAGGCAAAAUGGUGCCGUAACUUCGGGAGAAGGCACGCUGAUAUGUAGGUGAAGUCCCUUGCGGAUGGAGCUGAAAUCAGUCGAAGAUACCAGCUGGCUGCAACUGUUUAUUAAAAACACAGCACUGUGCAAACACGAAAGUGGACGUAUACGGUGUGACGCCUGCCCGGUGCCGGAAGGUUAAUUGAUGGGGUCAGCGCAAGCGAAGCUCUUGAUCGAAGCCCCGGUAAACGGCGGCCGUAACUAUAACGGUCCUAAGGUAGCGAAAUUCCUUGUCGGGUAAGUUCCGACCUGCACGAAUGGCGUAAUGAUGGCCAGGCUGUCUCCACCCGAGACUCAGUGAAAUUGAACUCGCUGUGAAGAUGCAGUGUACCCGCGGCAAGACGGAAAGACCCCGUGAACCUUUACUAUAGCUUGACACUGAACAUUGAGCCUUGAUGUGUAGGAUAGGUGGGAGGCUUAGAAGUGUGGACGCCAGUCUGCAUGGAGCCGACCUUGAAAUACCACCCUUUAAUGUUUGAUGUUCUAACGUUGACCCGUAAUCCGGGUUGCGGACAGUGUCUGGUGGGUAGUUUGACUGGGGCGGUCUCCUCCUAAAGAGUAACGGAGGAGCACGAAGGUUGGCUAAUCCUGGUCGGACAUCAGGAGGUUAGUGCAAUGGCAUAAGCCAGCUUGACUGCGAGCGUGACGGCGCGAGCAGGUGCGAAAGCAGGUCAUAGUGAUCCGGUGGUUCUGAAUGGAAGGGCCAUCGCUCAACGGAUAAAAGGUACUCCGGGGAUAACAGGCUGAUACCGCCCAAGAGUUCAUAUCGACGGCGGUGUUUGGCACCUCGAUGUCGGCUCAUCACAUCCUGGGGCUGAAGUAGGUCCCAAGGGUAUGGCUGUUCGCCAUUUAAAGUGGUACGCGAGCUGGGUUUAGAACGUCGUGAGACAGUUCGGUCCCUAUCUGCCGUGGGCGCUGGAGAACUGAGGGGGCUGCUCCUAGUACGAGAGGACCGGAGUGGACGCAUCACUGGUGUUCGGGUUGUCAUGCCAAUGGCACUGCCCGGUAGCUAAAUGCGGAAGAGAUAAGUGCUGAAAGCAUCUAAGCACGAAACUUGCCCCGAGAUGAGUUCUCCCUGACCCUUUAAGGGUCCUGAAGGAACGUUGAAGACGACGACGUUGAUAGGCCGGGUGUGUAAGCGCAGCGAUGCGUUGAGCUAACCGGUACUAAUGAACCGUGAGGCUUAACCUU